AUUGAACGCUGGCGGCAGGCCUAACACAUGCAAGUCGAGCGGAUGAAGGGAGCUUGCUCCUGGAUUCAGCGGCGGACGGGUGAGUAAUGCCUAGAAAUCUGCCUGGUAGUGGGGGAUAACGUCCGGAAACGGGCGCUAAUACCGCAUACGUCCUGAGGGAGAAAGUGGGGGAUCUUCGGACCUCACGCUAUCAGAUGAGCCUAGGUCGGAUUAGCUAGUUGGUGGGGUAACGGCCUACCAAGGCGACGAUCCGUAACUGGUCUGAGAGGAUGAUCAGUCACACUGGAACUGAGACACGGUCCAGACUCCUACGGGAGGCAGCAGUGGGGAAUAUUGGACAAUGGGCGAAAGCCUGAUCCAGCCAUGCCGCGUGUGUGAAGAAGGUCUUCGGAUUGUAAAGCACUUUAAGUUGGGAGGAAGGGCAGUAAGUUAAUACCUUGCUGUUUUGACGUUACCAACAGAAUAAGCACCGGCUAACUUCGUG
RNAcentral lists this ribosomal RNA (484 nucleotides) under uncultured bacterium. RNAcentral describes it as "partial 16S ribosomal RNA". It matches the Rfam family "Bacterial small subunit ribosomal RNA", at positions 30 to 507 of the family's 1533-position model. The record is from RNAcentral.